This 769-nucleotide ribosomal RNA is filed under the name Escherichia coli. Its description in RNAcentral is "partial 23S ribosomal RNA". It matches the Rfam family "Bacterial large subunit ribosomal RNA", at positions 467 to 1238 of the family's 2925-position model. Lineage: Bacteria; Pseudomonadati; Pseudomonadota; Gammaproteobacteria; Enterobacterales; Enterobacteriaceae. The record is from RNAcentral.
UAAAUACUCCUGACUGACCGAUAGUGAACCAGUACCGUGAGGGAAAGGCGAAAAGAACCCCGGCGAGGGGAGUGAAAAAGAACCUGAAACCGUGUACGUACAAGCAGUGGGAGCCUCUUAAUGGGGUGACUGCGUACCUUUUGUAUAAUGGGUCAGCGACUUAUAUUCUGUAGCAAGGUUAACCGAAUAGGGGAGCCGAAGGGAAACCGAGUCUUAACUGGGCGUUAAGUUGCAGGGUAUAGACCCGAAACCCGGUGAUCUAGCCAUGGGCAGGUUGAAGGUUGGGUAACACUAACUGGAGGACCGAACCGACUAAUGUUGAAAAAUUAGCGGAUGACUUGUGGCUGGGGGUGAAAGGCCAAUCAAACCGGGAGAUAGCUGGUUCUCCCCGAAAGCUAUUUAGGUAGCGCCUCGUGAAUUCAUCUCCGGGGGUAGAGCACUGUUUCGGCAAGGGGGUCAUCCCGACUUACCAACCCGAUGCAAACUGCGAAUACCGGAGAAUGUUAUCACGGGAGACACACGGCGGGUGCUAACGUCCGUCGUGAAGAGGGAAACAACCCAGACCGCCAGCUAAGGUCCCAAAGUCAUGGUUAAGUGGGAAACGAUGUGGGAAGGCCCAGACAGCCAGGAUGUUGGCUUAGAAGCAGCCAUCAUUUAAAGAAAGCGUAAUAGCUCACUGGUCGAGUCGGCCUGCGCGGAAGAUGUAACGGGGCUAAACCAUGCACCGAAGCUGCGGCAGCGACACUAUGUGUUGUUGGGUAGGGGAGCG